GACUACUGGGGUAUCUAAUCCUGUUCGAUCCCCACGCUUUCGUGCAUCAGCGUCAGUAAUGGCCCAGUAAGCUGCCUUCGCAAUCGGUGUUCUGUGUAAUAUCUAAGCAUUUCACCGCUACAUUACACAUUCCGCCUACCUUGACCAUACUCAAGACUAACAGUAUCAAUGGCAAUUCUACAGUUAAGCUGCAGGUUUUCACCACUGACUUAUUUGUCCGCCUACGCACCCUUUAAACCCAAUAAAUCCGGAUAACGCUCGCAUCCUCCGUAUUACCGCGGCUGCUGGCACGGAGUUAGCCGAUGCUUAUUCCCAGGGUACCGGCAAGCCGAUACUCGUAUCUGGUUUUCUUCCCCUGGAAAAGAAGUUUACAACGCAUAGCGCCUUCUUCCUUCACGCGGGAUGGCUGGUUCAGGCUUGCGCCCAUUGACCAAUAUUCCUCACUGCAGCCUCCCGUAGG
Molecule: ribosomal RNA, 460 nt
Filed under: uncultured Bacteroidota bacterium
Lineage: Bacteria; Pseudomonadati; Bacteroidota
Description: uncultured Bacteroidetes bacterium partial 16S ribosomal RNA
Source: RNAcentral